Molecule: ribosomal RNA, 492 nt
Filed under: uncultured bacterium
Lineage: Bacteria
Description: partial 16S ribosomal RNA
Rfam family: Bacterial small subunit ribosomal RNA
Source: RNAcentral
GAUGAACGCUAGCUACAGGCUUAACACAUGCAAGUCGAGGGGCAGCGGUAUCGAAAGCUUGCUUUCGGUAGCCGGCGACCGGCGCACGGGUGAGUAACGCGUAUCGAACCUGACUCAUACUCGGGAAUAGCCUUGCGAAAGUAAGAUUAAUGCCCGGUGUUUUCAGAGUCCCGCAUGAGGCUUUGAACAAAGAUUUAUCGGUAUGAGAUGGCGAUGCGUCCCAUUAGCUUGUUGGCGGGGUAACGGCCCACCAAGGCAUCGAUGGGUAGGGGUUCUGAGAGGAAGGUCCCCCACAUUGGAACUGAGACACGGUCCAAACUCCUACGGGAGGCAGCAGUGAGGAAUAUUGGUCAAUGGGCGGAAGCCUGAACCAGCCAAGUAGCGUGCAGGAAGACGGCCCUCCGGGUUGUAAACUGCUUUUAGUUGGGAAUAAAACGGGGCUCGUGAGCCCCCUUGCAUGUACCAUCAGAAAAAGGACCGGCUAAUUCCGUG